CUGAAAUGAGUUUGAGAUUGAUGGUGUACUCUGUUGACCUUCAUGGGAAUGCCUACCAGGAGGUGGUGGGAGGCCAGACUUUUUUCUCAGCUGGACAAAUGUGUGUGGAUGAAGUUCGUUGUCUAGAGUCUACUGAAACCAGUUUACAGCUCAACUGCUGCUUGUGUGUCUUGACCUCAUGAUGCCUUAGCAAAGGUCAGUCAAAUCCUGACUUGCAUGGAGAAUAUGACUAGAGAACUAUUACAGUUUCGUGCAAUACAGGAAAUGAGGAGGCAGCCCAGGAAACUGUGAGGUGGUGAACAGAAAGCAAAUGAAAAGAUACACUUCAUUCUCCACACUGUGCACAAUUAAACUUUUGAACUCAGAAUGCAUUCACACAGAGAAGUUCAAGAAGAGAUUUAAUAAAUUCUGAGAAGAAAAAUCUGCA
RNAcentral lists this long non-coding RNA (427 nucleotides) under Coturnix japonica (Japanese quail). Its description in RNAcentral is "lncRNA (ENSCJPG00005013053.1)". The record is from RNAcentral. Lineage: Eukaryota; Metazoa; Chordata; Aves; Galliformes; Phasianidae.